GGAACCUGUCCUGUAAUUGAUGAUCCACGAUUUAAAUUACUUAUUUUAAUAGUUUGCAUAUCGUCGUGGUUGAAUAUUUUUAAAAAAUAAUAAUAUUCAAGAUUUUUUAUUAAAAAAAAAUUCAGAUCAAGAUGUAGCUUAUAUAUAAGAAGAGAUGGGUUACAAUAAAUUUAUUUAAAUGGAUUGUAGUUUGAAAUUUUACAUGAAAGUGGAUUUGAUAGUAAUUUUAAUUAAAUAAUUAAAAUGAUUUUAGCUCUAAAAUAUGUACAUAUCGCCCGUCAUUUUCACUCUAAAGUGAAACAAGUCGUAACAUAGUAGGUGUACUGGAAAGUGUACCUAGAAUGGCAAAUUAGAGCUUGUUAAAAAGCAUUUUAUUUACAUUAAAAAGUUUAUUGUGAAAAUCAAUAUGAUUUGAAUUUAAAAAAUUAUUAUAAUAAUAAAUUUUUAGUUAUUUUAAUAAAUUAAUUUUUAGUUGAAUUAUAGAAAUGAAAUAAUUUAUUUAAUUAUAGUUAAUUUGUAUUGUAAAAGAAUUUUAAAUAAAUUUAUUUAAGAAUAAUUAAAUUUUAGUACCUUGUGCAAAAAACAUGGCCUUUUGAUAAUAAUAUAAGGUUUAACCUGCCCAAUGAGGUUUUAAAUGGCCGCAGUAUUUUGACUGUGCAAAGGUAGCAUAAUCAUUUGUUUUUUAAUUGAAAGCUGGAAUGAAAGGUUGAAUGAGAAAAUAACUGUCUCUAUUUAAUUUUAUUAUAAUUUUAUUUUUAAGUUAAAAAGCUUAAAUGUUUUUUGAAGACGAGAAGACCCUAUAGAGUUUUAUAAUUAAUAAAUUUAAAAAAUUUAGAAUUAAUUUUUUUUAAAUACAAAAAUUAUUUAGUUGGGGUGAUUAAAAAAUUUAAUAAACUUUUUUUUUAUUAUUACAUUAAUUUAUGAAUAUUUGAUCCUUUUUAAGAUUAUAAGAGUAAAUUACCUUAGGGAUAACAGCGUAAUUUUUUUUUAGAGUUCAAAUUAAAAGAAAAGAUUGCGACCUCGAUGUUGGAUUAAAAUUUAUAUUUGGUGUAGCAGCUAAAAUAUUGGGUCUGUUCGACCUUUAAAAUUUUACUUGAUCUGAG
This 1103-nucleotide ribosomal RNA is filed under the name Rhopalapion longirostre. RNAcentral's name for it is "partial 16S ribosomal RNA". The record is from RNAcentral. Lineage: Eukaryota; Metazoa; Arthropoda; Insecta; Coleoptera; Brentidae.